UGCAUGAAGUCGGAAUUGCUAGUAAUCGCGGAUCAGCAUGCCGCGGUGAAUACGUUCCCGGGCCUUGUACACACCGCCCGUCACACCAUGGGAGCCGGUAAUACCCGAAGUCAGUAGUCCAACCUCGUGAGGACNCUGCCGAAGGUAGGAUUGGCGACUGGGGUGAAGUCGUAACAAGGUAUC
This 183-nucleotide ribosomal RNA is filed under the name uncultured bacterium. RNAcentral describes it as "partial 16S ribosomal RNA". It matches the Rfam family "Bacterial small subunit ribosomal RNA", at positions 1317 to 1500 of the family's 1533-position model. The record is from RNAcentral.